RNAcentral lists this transfer RNA (74 nucleotides) under Fibrella aestuarina BUZ 2. RNAcentral describes it as "tRNA-Arg (ACG) (tRNA-Arg-ACG-2-1)". It matches the Rfam family "tRNA". From Rfam's summary of the family: Transfer RNA (tRNA) molecules are approximately 80 nucleotides in length. Their secondary structure includes four short double-helical elements and three loops (D, anti-codon, and T loops). Further hydrogen bonds mediate the characteristic L-shaped molecular structure. tRNAs have two regions of fundamental functional importance: the anti-codon, which is responsible for specific mRNA codon recognition, and the 3' end, to which the tRNAs corresponding amino acid is attached (by aminoacyl-tRNA synthetases). tRNAs cope with the degeneracy of the genetic code in two manners: having more than one tRNA (with a specific anti-codon) for a particular amino acid; and 'wobble' base-pairing, i.e. permitting non-standard base-pairing at the 3rd anti-codon position. Lineage: Bacteria; Pseudomonadati; Bacteroidota; Cytophagia; Cytophagales; Spirosomataceae. The record is from Rfam by way of RNAcentral.
GAGCGGCUAGUUCAAUUGGAUAGAACGUCUGAUUACGGAUCAGUUGGCUGGGGGUUCGAGUCCCUCGCUGCUCA